This 253-nucleotide ribosomal RNA is filed under the name uncultured bacterium. RNAcentral describes it as "partial 16S ribosomal RNA". It matches the Rfam family "Bacterial small subunit ribosomal RNA", at positions 524 to 776 of the family's 1533-position model. The record is from RNAcentral.
UACGGAGGGUGCAAGCGUUGUCCGGAUUUAUUGGGUUUAAAGGGUGCGUAGGCGGCCCGUUAAGUCAGUGGUGAAGGCCUCCAGCUCAACUGGAGAACUGCCAUUGAUACUGGCGGGCUUGAGUACAGACGAGGUUGGCGGAAUUGAUUGUGUAGCGGUGAAAUGCAUAGAUACAAUCAAGAACACCGAUUGCGUAGGCAGCUAACUAGGCUGUAACUGACGCUGAGGCACGAAAGCGUGGGGAGCGAACAGG